CGCCUUACAGCUAGCCCACCUAACAAAAGCAACAUUCCCUUAUUAAUAACCCCAAACGUUUUUAAAUUAAACAAACAAACCAUUUUAUAACUUUAGUAUAGGUGAUAAAAAAAGUCAUAGGAGCUAUACAGAGAAGUACCGAGAGGGAAAGCUGAAAAAGAAAUGAAAAAAAUCACUUAAGCCUAGAAUAGCAAAGAUUAAAUCUUGUACCUUUUGCAUCAUGAUUUAGCCAGUGUGCCUCAAGCAAAGAGCGCUUUAGUUUGUUUACCCGAAACUAUGUGAGCUACUCCAAGACAGCCUAUUAAUUAGGGCUAAUCCGUCUCUGUGGCAAAAGAGUGGAAUGAGCUUUGAGUAGAGGUGACAGACCUACCGAACUUAGUUAUAGCUGGUUGCCCAAGAAUUGAAUAGGAGUUCAGCCUCCCGGCUUCUUAACUCAAACUCUCGCUUUGCCUAAAAAGUAGACCCUAAGAAUACCGGGGGAGUUAGUCAAAGGAGGUACAGCUCCUUUGAAAAAAGACACAACUUUCCUAGAAGGAUAAAGAUCAAAUUAUUUUAAGGUAAUAUAUUUUAGUGGGCUUAAAAGCAGCCAUCCAACAGAAAGCGUUAAAGCUCUAAUACCUCUCUUUUCCUAUUAUACCGAUCCUAAAAUCCCAAUCCCCUUAUCUUAUUGGGCCGUCCCAUGCUAGCAUGGGAGCGAUUAUGCUAAAAUGAGUAAUAAGAGGGCAUGCGCCCCUCUCCUAACACUUGUGUAAAUCGGAACGAACCCACACCGAAAAUUAACGCAUCCUACACCAGAGGAACCUAGGAAAUUAAAAAUAAAACUAGAAAUACGCCUAAAAACUUUACCGUUAACCCCACACAGGAGUGUUCUCAAGGAAAGACUGAAAGAAAGAGAAGGAACUCGGCAAAUUUAGCAAGCCUCGCCUGUUUACCAAAAACAUCGCCUCUUGAAUUAUUGAUAUAAGAGGUCCUGCCUGCCCGGUGACCAAGUGUUCAACGGCCGCGGUAUCUUAACCGUGCGAAGGUAGCGCAAUCACUUGUCUCUUAAAUGGGGACCUGUAUGAAUGGCCUGACGAGGGCUUAACUGUCUCCUCUUUCCAGUCAAUGAAAUUGAUCUCCCCGUGCAGAAGCGGGGAUACCUUCAUAAGACGAGAAGACCCUAUGAAGCUUUAGACGCAAGGCAGCUUAUGUCCAUCCAUCCUUUUAAAGAACUAAACUUAGUAAUUCCUGUCCUUAAUGUCUUUGGUUGGGGCGACCAUGGGGAAGUACUUAACCCCCACGAGGAAAGGGGAGAUUUUAAACCUACAACCGAGAGCUGCAGCUCCAAGUAACAAUAAAUUUGACCAUUAAGAUCCGGACUAACCGAUCAACGAACCGAGUUACUCUAGGGAUAACAGCGCAAUCCCCUUAUAGAGUUCCUAUCGACAAGGGGGUUUACGACCUCGAUGUUGGAUCAGGACAUCCUAAUGGUGCAGCCGCUAUUAAGGGUUCGUUUGUUCAACGAUUAAAGUCCUACGUGAUCUGAGUUCAGACCGGAGUAAUCCAGGUCAGUUUCUACCUAUGCAGCACUUCUUUCUAGUACGAAAGGACCGAAAAAAGGAGGCCACUGCCUAAGGUAAGCCUUAUCCCCAUCUUAUGAAACCAUUAAAUAAGACAAAAGGAUGCACGCUUUUGCCAGAGAGAAUGGCAAAUU
RNAcentral lists this ribosomal RNA (1693 nucleotides) under Hypoplectrus floridae. RNAcentral describes it as "16S ribosomal RNA". It matches the Rfam family "Bacterial large subunit ribosomal RNA". The record is from RNAcentral. Lineage: Eukaryota; Metazoa; Chordata; Actinopteri; Perciformes; Serranidae.